AUGGGGGGCACUGUUCCCAGCUGCUAUGGGCUGGAAGACUACCGGCCUCACCGCCCCAUCCUGAGCCCCGGAGUAGGGGUGGGGGGUGGGCCGGGGCAACUUCACAACGCCGUAGGCAAUAUGGGCGGGGUCCCUGGCAUCAGCGAUCGAGGUGGGGGGCCGGGGAGCAGUUCUGGAGGGAGCAAUUCCGGUUCCUUCCUGGGCUCCCUGUUUGGGAGCAAGCGCGCCAAACCCCCUCCUCCCCUUACUCCCCCGGGGCCACAUUACCCGGCCCCCGUGCCACCUCCUACUACAGGAGGGCCGCCGCCUCCGUCCCCCUCCGCCCUCAGCCAGUCAGAUCCAGGUGGGCCGUCCAAGAUCCAAGCGCUGCACGCUCAGUACUGUCACAACAACUUUGGCCAGCCUCCGCCCCCUUACCACCAUCAUCAUCGGUACCAUAUGCAGGCCGUCGCCCCUGGCCAUCCACCCGCUAUCCAUCAUAUCCUACAUCGAGGGUCCCUCCCACGGCGCGGGCCACCCGUGCCUUCACACACCCAGCUCCAGCAGCACCAAUCCCAUCAUGCUAUGCAGCAAGGCCGCUACGGCAAUAUGGCCUGCACCCCUCCGCCUCUGUCCCCGCAUUCACCCAAUUCCCCUAUCGCCCCUUUCACCUUCUACCACAUGCAUCCCAAUCCCAUACGCCACGUACGGAUGCCCGGUCCUACCGGCAAACUUCCUCUCACCCUGUCUCACUCUCAGCCCCACCCUCACGCCCACUCCCACGCUCACUCUCAUACCCACAGCCAUCUCGUCCAUGCCCACAGCCCACACCCCUUGCUAGAUCACUCCGCCCAUCCAACUCACUUCGUUUUCUCACCACCCCUCAGGCACCAUCCGCUAUCACCGCCCGCUACAUACCCCAGGGCGCCGCCCACUACAUCCCACAGUAUCCACCCCUCUCUUCCAUCCCACCUCCUCCACCACAUUCCCCGUUACCUCCACCUUCAUCCCCACAUACCCCCCUCACCCCCCUCACACCUCUUACCCCACUCUCCCCGCUGGCCCCGCAACUCCCAGGACCCAUGGGGGCACAGUCGGGCGGACCAGGGAGCGGAGGAGGAGGCGGAGCCAGCAACAGCAGCACGGUCGGCAGCUCCAAAUCCAAACCUAUCAACCGCAUCAGCACGGUGGUGUGAGAGUAAGUCACAACAGAGGGCGCAGGGGGCCAUUGCGGAGGAGCCGGAGUCCAGGCAAGAGGAAGCACACCAUACUCAGACUCUGUUACUUCCAUAUCCGCUUCCCUCACGUGUAGAGCGGGAAUCCUGGCCGGCUACAUGCUCAUUGCUAGCCUGGAUGGCCUCUUGCUGUUGGCCGCCAAUCAAAACAAAGGCUGUGUAA
Molecule: long non-coding RNA, 1377 nt
Filed under: Carassius auratus (goldfish)
Lineage: Eukaryota; Metazoa; Chordata; Actinopteri; Cypriniformes; Cyprinidae
Description: lncRNA (ENSCARG00000046752.1)
Source: RNAcentral